GUGAGGAAGUCAGGAAGCAGCCUUAGCCAUUCUGGAACUCUUACCUUGGCUUCCCACAUACUAGGAUGACACACGUGUGUCUCCGUGCUUACUUAUGCGGUGUUGGCAUGAAUGGAACCACGGAUUCUAGACUUGGCCUCAACUGCCACCCUUCCCUGCCUCUCCAAGUUCCGUUCUCCAUCUCCUCAGCCUGUACCGCCUGCUCACCACUGUUCCUUGCAGCCCAAAGUGGCCUCCAUUCAGAUGACCUGGUGACCUGGAAUUGGCCUCUGUCCCUCUACCCAGGGUGCUGGCAGUGAUGCCCAUCCUCCUAUCUGCACACAGCUGUUUGGUAUCUCGGCGAAUCUGGUUCUUAUCACCACAGCUUGCUAAGCAGGAGUGAGUGCCAGACAUUCU
Long non-coding RNA from Microtus oregoni (creeping vole), 396 nucleotides. RefSeq lists it as uncharacterized. Lineage: Eukaryota; Metazoa; Chordata; Mammalia; Rodentia; Cricetidae. The record is from RefSeq and is a predicted model, not a curated record. The transcript is spliced from 3 exons.